RNAcentral lists this ribosomal RNA (806 nucleotides) under Ramularia plurivora. RNAcentral describes it as "eukaryotic LSU rRNA". It matches the Rfam family "Eukaryotic large subunit ribosomal RNA", at positions 77 to 914 of the family's 3401-position model. The record is from RNAcentral. Lineage: Eukaryota; Fungi; Ascomycota; Dothideomycetes; Mycosphaerellales; Mycosphaerellaceae.
GCCCUAGUAACGGCGAGUGAAGCGGCAACAGCUCAAAUUUGAAAUCUGGCGCAAGCCCGAGUUGUAAUUUGUAGAGGAUGCUUCUAGGUAGCGACCGGUCUAAGUUCCUUGGAACAGGACGUCAUAGAGGGUGAGAAUCCCGUAUGUGACCGGCCCGCACCUUCUACGUAGCUCCUUCGACGAGUCGAGUUGUUUGGGAAUGCAGCUCUAAAUGGGAGGUAAAUUUCUUCUAAAGCUAAAUACCGGCCAGAGACCGAUAGCGCACAAGUAGAGUGAUCGAAAGAUGAAAAGCACUUUGGAAAGAGAGUUAAAAAGCACGUGAAAUUGUUGAAAGGGAAGCGCUCACAACCAGACUUCUGGGCGGUGUUCCGCCGGUCUUCUGACCGGUCUACUCACCGUCCCGAGGCCAACAUCAUCUGGGACCGCCGGAUAAGACCUUAGGAAUGUAGCUCCCCUCGGGGAGUGUUAUAGCCUGUGGUGAUGCGGCGCGUCUCGGGUGAGGUCCGCGCUUCGGCAAGGAUGUUGGCGUAAUGGUUGUCAGCGGCCCGUCUUGAAACACGGACCAAGGAGUCUAACAUCUAUGCGAGUGUUCGGGUGUCAAACCCCUACGCGUAAUGAAAGUGAACGGAGGUGGGAAGGGUAACCUGCACCAUCGACCGAUCCUGAUGUCCUCGGAUGGAUUUGAGUAAGAGCAUAGCUGUUGGGACCCGAAAGAUGGUGAACUAUGCCUGAAUAGGGUGAAGCCAGAGGAAACUCUGGUGGAGGCUCGCAGCGGUUCUGACGUGCAAAUCGAUCGUCAAAUUUGG